RNAcentral lists this ribosomal RNA (394 nucleotides) under uncultured bacterium. RNAcentral's name for it is "bacterial SSU rRNA". It matches the Rfam family "Bacterial small subunit ribosomal RNA", at positions 505 to 897 of the family's 1533-position model. The record is from RNAcentral.
GUGUCAGCCGCCGCGGUAAAACGUAGGAGGCGAGCGUUAUCCGGAUUUAUUGGGCGUAAAGCGCAUGCAGGUGGCCCUGCAAGUCGGGUGUGAAAGCCUCUGGCUUAACUGGAGGAGGUCGCUCGAUACUGCUGGGCUUGAGGUCGGAAGAGGGAAGCGGAAUUCCCGGUGUAGUGGUGGAAUGCGUAGAUAUCGGGAGGAACACCAGUGGCGAAAGCGGCUUCCUGGUCCGCACCUGACACUAAGAUGCGAAAGCGUGGGGAGCGAACGGGAUUAGAUACCCCGGUAGUCCACGCUGUAAACGAUGGGUACUGGGUAUUGGUGGUAUUGACCCCAUCAGUGCCGAAGCUAACGCGUUAAGUACCCCGCCUGGGGACUACGGCCGCAAGGUUAA